AUUGAACGCUGGCGGCAGGCCUAACACAUGCAAGUCGAGCGGAUGAAGGGAGCUUGCUCCUGGAUUCAGCGGCGGACGGGUGAGUGAUGCCUAGGAAUCUGCCUGGUAGUGAGGGAUAACGUCCGGAAACGGGCGCUAAUACCGCAUACGUCCUGAGGGAGAAAGUGGGGGAUCUUCGGACCUCACGCUAUCAGAUGAGCCUAGGUCGGAUUAGCUAGUUGGUGGGGUAAAGGCCUACCAAGGCGACGAUCCGUAACUGGUCUGAGAGGAUGAUCAGUCACACUGGAACUGAGACACGGUCCAGACUCCUACGGGAGGCAGCAGUGGGGAAUAUUGGACAAUGGGCGAAAGCCUGAUCCAGCCAUGCCGCGUGUGUGAAGAAGGUCUUCGGAUUGUAAAGCACUUUAAGUUGGGAGGAAGGGCAGUAAGUUAAUACCUUGCUGUCUUGACGUUACCAACAGAAUAAGCACCGGCUAACUUCGUG
Molecule: ribosomal RNA, 484 nt
Filed under: uncultured bacterium
Lineage: Bacteria
Description: partial 16S ribosomal RNA
Rfam family: Bacterial small subunit ribosomal RNA
Source: RNAcentral